UCAUGAAAGGUUUAAUUUUUGCAAUAUUUUUUGUCAUGGACACGUUUUAGUGUUGUUGAUGGUGUUGUUGUAUUUAUAUUUUUUGUACUUCGUAGACCUAUUACUGUGUGUUGACGAAAAGGUUCAAGAUUUUGUUUUUAGAAGGUAAUUUUGAACAAAAUCUUGAACAUGUUUUGUUGUUGUUGAUGGUAUUGUUGUAAUUUUUUUAUACUUCGUACGCAUAUUACCAUGGGUUGAAGAAAAUGUUCAAGUUUUUGUUUUUAAAAUGUAUUUUUGAAUAAAAUCUUGAACAUUUAUUUGUCUGUGAAUUUUUCUUUUCUAUGGCCAUUUGAAACGCUAGGGAUAUGGUGUUUGGGUGUUAAAAUUGCACAUAAAAGAUACAUUUUACGAUUUAUUGUUUGAUUUGAUGAAUGUAAUUUUUUUUCUUUAUUAAAGUUCUUAAAGUUCUUAACUUUUUAGUUGUUCUUGGUUGUUCUUCUUUUUCAAAGUUGUAGAGGAUGUGGUUUUCAAAGGUUACAAGAUCAGUGCUUGAAUCUACAAGCAGAAAGGAUUCAUUAUUCAUUUAUGACAGUGUAUUGCAAUGGUCUUAUUUAAAAAAAAGAUUAUUUUUUUACAUCUUCCAUGUUUAUUUGGUUUUUAUUUUUAUUUCAUUUAUGCUAAUUUAUAUUUAGACACAACCUCUGUAAUUGUUAAAUGAUUUACUUCUAUAAUUUAUAUUUAACUCUUGGUCAUAACUCUCCAAGUCUCCAAGGGGAUUCAACAAAGACUGUUCCAACAGGUAAGAUAGACAACAAAAACAAGCUUGGAGAUGCUGCUCAAGAGGUGUUGGUUGAUUUCAAGGAAAAUCCCAAGGCUGCAUAGGAAUAUAUGAAGAAUCCUAUGACGAUGAACAAGAUCCAAAAGGUGGUCAAUGUUGGAAUUGUCCAAAUGAGUUGCUUGGGUGUACUACAAGUAUUGGGGCAUAUGUGAAGCUUGGAGAAGAAUCUAAAUGCAUUAAGAUCACUUUUUGAAGGGACUACAGAAAGGAACACAUUACUAUUAUGUGGAAAAUUAGAGGAGUGCGUUUCUUUAGUUAAUUCAAUUGCAAACCCAAAUGUUGCAUUUGAUGUAAUAGAAAAAGGCAACAAGUCGCUUGAGUUGAAGAUUCAAAACCAGGGAGCAUAUCAACAUGACUGUUAGAGUAAACUGUAGAGAUGAACAAAGGAACAAUUAUUAUAGAUGUUAUCACCUACAGUAAGAAGUUGCAAGACAAAUUCUAGAGUCUUAUCACCGAUUUUGUUUUGUUGUUUUGCAAUUAGCUUUGGUUCACUGUAUCUCAUAAAGUUGAGAUAUUUUAA
Molecule: long non-coding RNA, 1337 nt
Organism: Vigna unguiculata (cowpea)
Lineage: Eukaryota; Viridiplantae; Streptophyta; Magnoliopsida; Fabales; Fabaceae
Source: RefSeq, a predicted model, not a curated record